Molecule: non-coding RNA, 166 nt
Organism: Chelonoidis abingdonii (Abingdon island giant tortoise)
Lineage: Eukaryota; Metazoa; Chordata; Testudines; Testudinidae
Source: RefSeq, a predicted model, not a curated record
GUAAAAUAUGAUAAAUAACAGAAAUUGUAUUUUUCAAUUCACCUCAUACAAGUGCUGUAGUUCAAUCUCUAUCCUGAAAGUGUUACUUACAAAUGUAGAUUUUUUAUUUUUUUUUGGCUACAUAACUGCACUCAAAAACAAGCCAAUGUAAAACUUUAGGGCCUAC